This 1250-nucleotide ribosomal RNA is filed under the name 'Lactuca serriola' phytoplasma. RNAcentral's name for it is "Lactuca serriola phytoplasma bacterial SSU rRNA". It matches the Rfam family "Bacterial small subunit ribosomal RNA", at positions 153 to 1399 of the family's 1533-position model. The record is from RNAcentral. Lineage: Bacteria; Bacillati; Mycoplasmatota; Mollicutes; Acholeplasmatales; Acholeplasmataceae. RNAcentral also lists the same sequence under 11 other names.
GAAACAGUUGCUAAGACUGGAUAGGAAAUUAAGAGGCAUCUUUUAAUUUUUAAAAGACCUUUUUCGAAAGGUAUGCUUAAAGAGGGGCUUGCGCCACAUUAGUUAGUUGGUAAGGUAAAGGCUUACCAAGACGAUGAUGUGUAGCUGGACUGAGAGGUCGAACAGCCACAUUGGGACUGAGACACGGCCCAAACUCCUACGGGAGGCAGCAGUAAGGAAUUUUUGGCAAUGGAGGAAACUCUGACCGAGCGACGCCGCGUGAACAAUGAAGUACUUCGGUAUGUAAAGUUCUUUUAUUGAAAAAGAAAAAAUAGUGGAAAAACUAUCUUGACAUUAUUCAAUGAAUAAGCCCCGGCUAAUUAUGUGCCAGCAGCCGCGGUAAUACAUAAGGGGCGAGCGUUAUCCGGAAUUAUUGGGCGUAAAGGGUGCGUAGGCGGUUUGAUAAGUCUAUAGUUUAAAUGCAGUGCUUAACGCUGUAGCGCUAUAGAAACUGUCUGACUAGAGUUAGAUAGAGGCAAGCGGAAUUCCAUGUGUAGCGGUAAAAUGCGUAAAUAUAUGGAGGAACACCAGAGGCGUAGGCGGCUUGCUGGGUCUUAACUGACGCUGAGGCACGAAAGCGUGGGGAGCAAACAGGAUUAGAUACCCUGGUAGUCCACGCCGUAAACGAUGAGUACUAAGUGUCGGGUUUCGGCUCGGUACUGAAGUUAACACAUUAAGUACUCCGCCUGAGUAGUACGUACGCAAGUAUGAAACUUAAAGGAAUUGACGGGACCCCGCACAAGCGGUGGAUCAUGUUGUUUAAUUCGAAGAUACACGAAAAACCUUACCAGGUCUUGACAUAAUUUUGCGACAUUAUAGAAAUAUAAUGAAGGUUAUCAGAAUUACAGGUGGUGCAUGGUUGUCGUCAGCUCGUGUCGUGAGAUGUUAGGUUAAGUCCUAAAACGAGCGCAACCCUUGUCGUUAGUUGCGACCACGUAAUGGUGAGCACUUUAGCGAGACUGCCAAUGAAAAAUUGGAGGAAGGUGAGGAUUACGUCAAAUCAUCAUGCCCCUUAUGAUCUGGGCUACAAACGUGAUACAAUGGCUGUUACAAAGAGUAGCUACAACGUGAGUUUUUAGCCAAUCUCAAAAAAACAGUCUCAGUUCGGAUUGAAGUCUGCAACUCGACUUCAUGAAGUUGGAAUCGCUAGUAAUCGCGAAUCAGCAUGUCGCGGUGAAUACGUUCUCGGGGUUUGUACACACCGCCCGUCA